AGGGCGUGGGGCGAAUGCCUUGGCACCGGGAGCCGAAGAAGGACGUGGCAAACGACGAAAUGCCGGGAGGAGACGUAAGCAGUCAUUGAUACCCGGAUGUCCGAAUGAGGGAACUCACAUAAGGUAAACCUUAUGUAUCAUACAGUGAAUCCAUAGCUGUAUGAGGGGAACGAGGGGAACUGAAACAUCUAAGUACCCUUAGGAAAAGAAAAUAAAUAAUGAUUCCGUAAGUAGCGGCGAGCGAAAGCGGAAGAGCCCAAACCAUAUAGAAAUAUAUGGGGUUGCGGACAUAUCAGAGGAUACCGAAAUUUGUAGCCGAAUACGGCUGGAAAGCCGAACCGAAGAAGGUGAUGGUCCUGUAGGCGAAACAGAUUAAGGUAGAAGAUAUGAUCCAGAGUACCACGGGACACGAGGAAUCCUGUGGGAAGCAGGGAGGACCACCUCCCAAGGCUAAAUACUACCCGGUGACCGAUAGAGAAGAGUACCGUGAGGGAAAGGUGAAAAGAACCCCGGGAGGGGAGUGAAAAAGAACCUGAAACCCCAUGCCUAUAAGCAGUGGGAGUCCGGCACUCAAUUCUGAGGAUAAGCGAAAAUUGAGUGAAAGGAAGCACAAUAAGUAGUUUAUCAAUAGAAUUGAGUGCCGGAUGACCGCGUACUUUUUGUAGAACGGGCCAACGAGUUACAAUAUGCAGCGAGGUUAAUAACUAAGAGGUUAGGAGCCGAAGGGAAACCGAGUCUGAAGAGGGCGAGAGUUGCAUGUUGUAGACCCGAAACCGGGUGACCUAUCCAUGUGCAGGUUGAAACUAGAGUAAAGUCUGGUGGAGGACCGAACCCAUUAGCGUUUAAAAGCUACGGGAUGACGUGUGGAUAGGGGUGAAAUUCCAAUCGAACCCGGAGAUAGCUGGUUCUCCUCGAAAUAGCUUUAGGGCUAGCCUCAGGAAAGAGUAUCGUGGGGGUAGAGCACUGACUGGUCUAGGGGCGUUAUACGUUACCGAAACCUAUCAAACUCCGAAUACCACAGAUAUGUUGCCUGGGAGUCAGACUACGAGAGAUAAGUUUCGUGGUCAAAAGGGAAACAGCCCAGAUCACCAACUAAGGUCCCAAAAUACAGAUUAAGUGGAAAAGGAUGUAAAACUACACAGACAACCAGGAUGUUGGCUUAGAAGCAGCCAUUCAUUAAAAGAGUGCGUAAUAGCUCACUGGUCGAGUGGUUUUGCGCCGAAGAUGUCCGGGGCUAAAAUCUGUUACCGAAGUUGUGGACCUGCACUCAAUUUUGCAGAUAAGCGAUAAACUAAGAGAAGUUUAGUUUACCUGCAAAAUUGAGUGCAGGUGGUAGAGGAGCAUUCUGUAAGGGUCGAAGCACUACCGAAAGGAGUUGUGGACUUUACAGAAGAGAGAAUGUUGGCAUGAGUAGCGAAAGGGGAGUGAGAAUCUCCCCCAUCGAAAGCCUAAGGAUUCCUGAGGAAGGUUCGUCCACUCAGGGUAAGUCGGGACCUAAGCCGAGGCCAAAAGGCGUAGGCGAUGGACAACCGGUUGAGAUUCCGGUACCACCUUUAAGCGUUUGAGAGACGGGGUGACACAGAAGGGUAAGCUAAGCGCACUGAUGGAAUAGUGCGUCCAAGUAAGUAGGGAGAUAACCGAGGCAAAUCCCGGAUAUCAAUCCUGAGAUACGAAGGGGAGCGAAAACAAGUAGUGAAGUAGCUGAGCCCAUGCUGUCAAGAAAAGCCUCUAUCGAGCGAGAAGGUGCCCGUACCGCAAACCGACACAGGUAGGCAAGGAGAGAAUCCAAAGAUGCGCGGAAGAACUAUUGUUAAGGAACUAGGCAAAAUGACCCCGUAACUUCGGGAGAAGGGGUGCCGUGUUUUGUGAAAUCUAAACAGGUGGAGCAGGAUACGGCCACAGAAAACAGGCCCAAGCGACUGUUUACCAAAAACACAGGUCUCUGCUAAAUCGAAAGAUGAAGUAUAGGGGCUGACACCUGCCCGGUGCUGGAAGGUUAAGGGGAGAAGUUACCCCGCACUCAAUUCUGUAUAUAAUUUAAGAAACAAUUUUAAAAAGAAUGAGAUAGAUUGUAUAUGGAAUUGAGUGCGGGGGAAGCUUUGAACUUAAGCCCCAGUAAACGGCGGCCGUAACUAUAACGGUCCUAAGGUAGCGAAAUUCCUUGUCGGGUAAGUUCCGACCCGCACGAAAGGUGUAACGAUUUGGGCACUGUCUCAACAAUAGAUCCGGUGAAAUUGUAGUACUCGUGAAGAUGCGAGUUACCCGCGGCAGGACGGAAAGACCCCAUGGAGCUUUACUGCAGGCUGACAUUGGAAUUCGGUAGCAAUUGUACAGAAUAGGUGGGAGACUGAGAAGCCGGUACGCCAGUAUUGGUGGAGUCGCCUUUGGGAUACCACUCUAUUGUUACUGAAUUUCUAACAUGGUACCGUAAUCCGGUACAUGGACACUGUCAGUUGGGCAGUUUGACUGGGGCGGUCGCCUCCGAAAGAGUAACGGAGGCGCUCAAAGGUUCCCUCAGCACGGUCGGAAAUCGUGCGAAGAGUGUAAAGGCAGAAGGGAGCUUGACUGUGAGAGAGGCAUCUCGAGCAGGAACGAAAGUUGGACUUAGUGAUCCGGUGGCACCGAGUGGAAAGGCCAUCGCUUAACGGAUAAAAGCUACCCUGGGGAUAACAGGCUUAUCUCCCCCAAGAGUCCACAUCGACGGGGAGGUUUGGCACCUCGAUGUCGGCUCGUCUCAUCCUGGGGCUGAAGCAGGUCCCAAGGGUUGGGCUGUUCGCCCAUUAAAGAGGCACGCGAGCUGGGUUCAGAACGUCGUGAGACAGUUCGGUCCCUAUCCGCCGUGGGCGCAGGAAAUUUGAAGGGAGCUGUUCCUAGUACGAGAGGACCGGAAUGGACAGACCGCCGGUGAAUCAGUUGUCCCGCCAGGGGCACGGCUGAGUAGCUGAGUCUGGAAAGGAUAAGCGCUGAAAGCAUCUAAGCGCGAAACGUACCCUAAGAUAAGAUUUCCCAUCACAUAAGUGAGUAAGACCCCUGAUAGGUUAACAGGUUGAUAGGUCGCAGGUGUAAGUGCAGCAAUGCAUUCAGCUGAGCGAUACUAAUAGGUCGAGGUCUUGACC
RNAcentral lists this ribosomal RNA (3116 nucleotides) under activated sludge metagenome. Its description in RNAcentral is "bacterial LSU rRNA". It matches the Rfam family "Bacterial large subunit ribosomal RNA". The record is from RNAcentral.